Molecule: ribosomal RNA, 160 nt
Filed under: uncultured Lactobacillus sp.
Lineage: Bacteria; Bacillati; Bacillota; Bacilli; Lactobacillales; Lactobacillaceae
Description: partial 16S ribosomal RNA
Rfam family: Bacterial small subunit ribosomal RNA
Source: RNAcentral
UAGGGAAUCUUCCACAAUGGGCGCAAGCCUGAUGGAGCAACACCGCGUGAGUGAAGAAGGGUUUCGGCCCGUAAAACUCUGUUGUUGAAGAAGAACGUGCGUGAGAGUAACUGUUCACGCAGUGACGGUAUUCAACCAGAAAGUCACGGCUAACUACGUG